CUCGAGAGAGUUUGAUCAUGGCUCAGAAGAACGCGGGCGGCGGGCCUAACACAUGCAAGUCGCACGAGAAAGACACUGGUUGCAGGGGCGAGUAAAGUGGCGCACGGGUGAGUAACGCGUGGUUAAUCUACCCUUGGGUUUGUCCACCACGUCCCGAAAGGGGCGCUAAUACCGGAUAAGACCACGGUGUCCACGGGGACUGUGGGAAAAAGGGGGCCUCUCUUUCUUGUAUGCUUCSUGCCUGAGGAUGACCCCGCGUCCCUUUAGCUUGUUGGUGAGGUAACGGCUCACCAAGGCCGCGAUGGGUAGCUGAUCUGAGAGGAUGAUCAGCCACACUGGGACUGGAACACGGCCCAAACUCCUACGGGAGGCAGCAGUGAGGAAUCUUGCGCAAUGGGGGAAACCCUGACGCAGCCACGCCGCGUGGGUGAAGAAGGCCUUCGGGUUGUAAAGCCCUGUCAGGUGGGAAGAACCGCAGUCUGGCCAAUACCUGGACUGCUUGACGGUACCACCAAAGGAAGCACCGGCUAACUCCGUGCCAGCAGCCGCGGUAAUACGGAGGGUGCAAGCGUUGUUCGGAAUUACUGGGCGUAAAGCGCGUGUAGGCGAACCGGUAAGUUGGGAGUGAAAGCCCUGGGGCUCACCCAAGGAAGUGCUUCCAAUACUGCCCGGCCUUGAGUUCCGGAGUGGGUGGUGGAAAUUCCCGGUGUAGAGGUGAAAUUCGUUAGAUAUCGGGAGGAACACCAGUGGCGAAG
This 755-nucleotide ribosomal RNA is filed under the name uncultured bacterium. RNAcentral's name for it is "bacterial SSU rRNA". It matches the Rfam family "Bacterial small subunit ribosomal RNA", at positions 1 to 720 of the family's 1533-position model. The record is from RNAcentral.